GACGAACGCUGGCGGCGUGCUUAACACAUGCAAGUCGAACGAAGAGCGACGGAAGCUUGCUUCUAUCAAUAUUAGUGGCGAACGGGUGAGUAACGCGUAAUCAACCUGCCCUUCAGAGGGGGACAACAGUUGGAAACGACUGCUAAUACCGCAUACGAUCUAACCUCGGCAUCGAGGAGAGAUGAAAGGUGGCCGCGACAUGUAAGCUAUCACUGAAGGAGGGGAUUGCGUCUGAUUAGCUAGUUGGAGGGGUAACGGCCCACCAAGGCGAUGAUCAGUAGCCGGUCUGCGAGGAUGAACGGCCAAAUUGGGACUGGGACACGGCCCAGACUCCUACGGGAGGCAGCAGUGGGGAAUCUUCCGCAAUGGACGAAAGUCUGACGGAGCAACGCCGCGUGAGUGAUGACGGCCUUCGGGUUGGAAAGCUCUGUUAAUCGGGACGAAAGGCCUUCUUGCGAAUAGUGAGAAGGAUUGACGGUACCGGAAUAGAAAGCCACGGCUAACUACGUG
RNAcentral lists this ribosomal RNA (510 nucleotides) under uncultured bacterium. Its description in RNAcentral is "partial 16S ribosomal RNA". It matches the Rfam family "Bacterial small subunit ribosomal RNA", at positions 28 to 507 of the family's 1533-position model. The record is from RNAcentral.